RNAcentral lists this ribosomal RNA (1234 nucleotides) under uncultured fungus. RNAcentral describes it as "eukaryotic LSU rRNA". The stretch from base 600 to 1234 matches the Rfam family "Eukaryotic large subunit ribosomal RNA", at positions 1 to 648 of the family's 3401-position model. Lineage: Eukaryota; Fungi. The record is from RNAcentral.
GGGAACAAGGUUUCCGUAGGUGAACCUGCGGAAGGAUCAUUAACGUAUAAUCCGACGGGGUUCGGUCGCGCCUCGCUCCGGCUCUCACGGGCCGUGCAGCGGGCGUCCGUCCCUGUUCACCCUUAACAAACCCCACUGUGCACCUUCACGGCAGAGGGCUCACGCCUGACGCCGCAUACAACAAACUCCAGUUCUAAAGAAUGUCGAGCGGACCUCGUGCCGCCUCUAAUUUGUAACAACUUUCAACAACGGAUCUCUUGGCUCUCGCAUCGAUGAAGAACGCAGCGAAAUGCGAUAAGUAAUGUGAAUUGCAGAAUUCAGUGAAUCAUCGAAUCUUUGAACGCACCUUGCGCUCCUUGGUAUUCCGAGGAGCAUGCCUGUUUGAGUGUCUUGAAGUCAUCAACCCCUCCCGUUUCGUGCGGGCUGGGGCUGGAGCUGGGGGCUUGCUGCCGUGAGGCGGCUCCCCUCAAAUGCAUCGGNUGGUGCUGUGGGUCGAACUCGACUGGACGUUGUAUCAUCCUCGCUCUACCGAGAACGCCCCUUCCGUGCCCGANCCCGACCUGCCUGAGGAGAGNNGGNGAAGCUAAACUUUGAAAUCUGACCUCUAAAUCAGGUAGGACUACCCUCUGAACUUUAGCAUAUCAAUAAGCGGAGGAAAAAGAAACUAACAAGGAUUCCCCUAGUAACUGCGAGURGAUCGGGAAAAGCUCAAAUUUGAAAUCUGGCGUUUCCNCCGUUCGAGUUGUAUUCUGGAGAAGUGCCUUUCGCGCCGGACUGCGUUCAAGUNUCUUGGAACAGGGCGUCAUAGAAGGUGAGAAUUCCGUCUUGGGCACGGUCCCCCGNUGCUAUGCGGUGCUCUCUCGAAGAGUCGAGUUGUUUGGGAAUGCAGCUCAAAACGGGUGGUAAAUUCCAUCUAAAGCUAAAUAUUGGCGAGAGACCGAUAGCGAACAAGUACCGUGAGGGAAAGAUGAAAAGCACUUUGGAAAGAGAGUAAAACAGUACGUGAAAUUGUUGAAAGGGAAACGCUUGAAGUCAGUCGCGUCUGCCGGAACUCAUCCUUGCUUCUGCUUGGUGCACUUUCCGGUUCGCCGGGCCAGCAUCGGUUUCGAGCGGUGGUCACUGGUGAAGGGAAGGUGGCGGCUCCGGCCGUGUUAUAGCCCUUUGCCGCGAACUCCGCCCGGGACCGAGGAAUCCGGCGCAAGCCUGGGAUGCUGGCGUAAUGGCUUUAAGCGAC